UACAGAGGGUGCAAGCGUUAAUCGGAAUUACUGGGCGUAAAGCGUGCGUAGACGGUUAUGUAAGUCAGGUGUGAAAGCCCCGGGCUCAACCUGGGAAUGCCAUUUGAGACUGCAUAGCUAGGGUACGGAAGAGGGAAGCGGAAUUUCAGGUGUAGCGGUGAAAUGCGUAGAUAUCAGGAGGAACACCAGCGGCGAAGGCGGGUCUCUGGACAGUUCCUGACGCUGAGGCACGAAGGUCAGGGGAGCAAACGGG
This 253-nucleotide ribosomal RNA is filed under the name uncultured bacterium. Its description in RNAcentral is "partial 16S ribosomal RNA". It matches the Rfam family "Bacterial small subunit ribosomal RNA", at positions 524 to 776 of the family's 1533-position model. The record is from RNAcentral.